AAUGAACGCUGGCGGCGUGCUUAACACAUGCAAGUCGGAUGUGCCGCAAGGUGCAUGGCAGACGGGUGAGUAACGCGUAGGGAACCUACCUCUUUGUGGGGAAUAACGUUCCGAAAGGAAUGGUAAUACCGCAUGAGAUCCACGAUUGGGAUGUUGUGGAUGAAAGCCGGGGAUCGAAAGACCUGGCGCAAGGAGAGGGUCCUGCGUCUGAUUAGCUAGUUGGUGGGGUAACGGCCUACCAAGGCAACGAUCAGUAGCCGGCCUGAGAGGGUGAUCGGCCACACUGGAACUGAGACACGGUCCAGACUCCUACGGGAGGCAGCAGUGGGGAAUUUUGCGCAAUGGACGAAAGUCUGACGCAGCAACGCCGCGUGGGUGAUGAAGGUCUUCGGAUUGUAAAACCCUGUCGUCAGGGACGAAGGUAGGGGCCUUAAUACGUCUGAGGUUGACGGUACCUUCUUAGCAAGCACCGGCUAACUCUGUGCCAGCAGCCGCGGUAAU
RNAcentral lists this ribosomal RNA (501 nucleotides) under uncultured bacterium. Its description in RNAcentral is "bacterial SSU rRNA". It matches the Rfam family "Bacterial small subunit ribosomal RNA", at positions 29 to 524 of the family's 1533-position model. The record is from RNAcentral.